GUACGAACGUGAAGGGAAUCCAGCACUGCAAAGUUCGCGAACAGCUAUGAAUUUCUCCAUUCAAGUUUGUGUUGUCAUGGCACUUUUCGUGGUUCUCCAGUUUCUUUCAAACCACUGCGAAAGCACACCUGAAGAUGUAGGGAAUCAGGAAAAAGAGAACUCAAAACUUGGCGAUCCAUUUAGAUUUMAARWAACUGAAUUCAAUUGUAACACGACAGCUGAUUGCGUGAACCAUUUCAAGAUAAAUAAUGUAGACUGUGRCAACAAUGGUUUAUGCGUUAUCAMGCCCUUUCGAAUUAGUGGAUAACAGUAUGAUUCAUCUUAACAAAACAUUAUUGACAUAAUAAUUUAACAUUAAGGAAUUGUGAUGCARGGAUGCUAUAAACAAUCUGAAAUAAA
Long non-coding RNA from Exaiptasia diaphana, 399 nucleotides. RefSeq lists it as uncharacterized. Lineage: Eukaryota; Metazoa; Cnidaria; Anthozoa; Actiniaria; Aiptasiidae. The transcript is spliced from 3 exons. The record is from RefSeq and is a predicted model, not a curated record.